AAACCUAAUACAACAGAAGCCCUGCCUCUCUUCCAUCUAUACGGUUCCGAGACCGCGCCAAUAGGAAUCAGGUUU
RNAcentral lists this small RNA (75 nucleotides) under Bacillus tuaregi. RNAcentral's name for it is "BsrC". It matches the Rfam family "BsrC", at positions 2 to 76 of the family's 87-position model. From Rfam's summary of the family: The 301 nucleotide sequence from Kouji Nakamura has been trimmed to a highly conserved ~85 nucleotide long core to form this family. The record is from RNAcentral. Lineage: Bacteria; Bacillati; Bacillota; Bacilli; Caryophanales; Bacillaceae.